Molecule: non-coding RNA, 287 nt
Filed under: Chlorocebus sabaeus (green monkey)
Lineage: Eukaryota; Metazoa; Chordata; Mammalia; Primates; Cercopithecidae
Source: RNAcentral
ACUGGGCAUGAUGCAUGUGUCUGCAGUCCUGGCUACUCGGAAGGCUGAGGUGGGAGAUUGCUGGAGCCCACCCAUUCUGGGCUAUAGUAUGCAGUGCUAAUCCUGUGUGUACACUGAGUUCGGCAUCAGUAUGGUGACCUGCGAGCUAGGGACCACGAGGUUGCCUAAGGAAGGGUGAACCCGUCCAACCUGGAACCAGCAGACAGAACUGUGCUGAUGAGCAGUGGGAGCGUGGCUGUAAGUAGCCACUGCCCUCCAGCCUAGCAACACAGCCAGACCUGUCUCUU